ACUUCUUGUGGAUUUCGAUCAGGUAGUCUUUAAAGGCAAUUUGAUUCACUUAUAUAUUACUCUGCCUAAAUCUCUUGCUAGUUAUAUUUUUUUGUCACAAAAUAUUCUAAUGUAUCCACAUGUUUGGUUGUCCCUUAUCCUGUUUCAUUUUACAACGUUCCCUUCCUCCUUACACCAUUCCUUAUUCGUUAAAGCAGGAUCAAAGUCGACAACAUGAAAUUUCAGAUUUUAAUCACCUUUUUCCUUUGUCUAAAAUUUAGAGAUGCAUCAUAUAGUUAUUGAACUACAAGAACUAUAGAUUAUUG
This 305-nucleotide unclassified non-coding RNA is filed under the name Hevea brasiliensis (rubber tree). The record is from RNAcentral. Lineage: Eukaryota; Viridiplantae; Streptophyta; Magnoliopsida; Malpighiales; Euphorbiaceae.